AAGAUACUAGUAAAGUAUUACACUGCCUUGUCAAGACAGAAUCGUGGGUUAAACCCCCGC
This 60-nucleotide transfer RNA is filed under the name Electrona carlsbergi. RNAcentral's name for it is "tRNA-Asp". The record is from RNAcentral. Lineage: Eukaryota; Metazoa; Chordata; Actinopteri; Myctophiformes; Myctophidae.